Molecule: unclassified non-coding RNA, 353 nt
Filed under: soil metagenome
Description: partial contains 5.8S ribosomal RNA, internal transcribed spacer 2, and large subunit ribosomal RNA
Rfam family: 5.8S ribosomal RNA (bases 1-120)
Source: RNAcentral
GAUGAAGAACGUAGUGAAAUGCGAUAAGUAAUGUGAAUUGCAGAAUUCAGUGAAUCAUCGAAUCUUUGAACGCACAUUGCGCCCGCCAGUAUUCUGGCGGGCAUGCCUGUUCGAGCGUCAUUACAACCCUCAGGCCCCCGGGCCUGGCGUUGGGGAUCGGCGGAGCCCCCCGUGGGCACACGCCGUCCCCCAAAUGCAGUGGCGGUCCCGCCGCAGCUUCCAUCGCGUAGUAGCUAACACCUCGCGACUGGAGAGCGGCGCGGCCACGCCGUAAAACACCCAACUCUUCUGAAUGUUGACCUCGGAUCAGGUAGGAAUACCCGCUGAACUUAAGCAUAUCAAUAAGCGGAGGA